This 228-nucleotide ribosomal RNA is filed under the name uncultured bacterium. Its description in RNAcentral is "partial 16S ribosomal RNA". It matches the Rfam family "Bacterial small subunit ribosomal RNA", at positions 568 to 795 of the family's 1533-position model. The record is from RNAcentral.
CGCGUAGGCGGUUAUUUAAGUCAGAUGUGAAAAACCGAGGCUCAACCUCGGCCUUGCAUUUGAAACUGGAUGACUUGAGGAUGAGAGAGGAAAGUGGAAUUCCUAGUGUAGCGGUGAAAUGCGUAGAUAUUAGGAGGAACACCAGUGGCGAAGGCGACUUUCUGGCUCAUACCUGACGCUGAGGCACGAAAGCGUGGGGAGCAAACAGGAUUAGAUACCCUGGUAGUC